CCUUCGGGAGCGUGGAGACAGGUGGUGCAUGGUUGUCGUCAGCUCGUGUCGUGAGAUGUUGGGUUAAGUCCCGCAACGAGCGCAACCCUUGCUAUUAGUUGCUAACAGGCAGAGCUGAGCACUCUAAUGGGACUGCCGGUGACAAGCCGGAGGAAGGUGGGAUGACGUCAAAUCAUCAUGCCUUUAUGACCUGGGCUACACACGUGCUACAAUGGAUGGUACAGAGAGCAGCGAGGCAGCGAUGUGGAGCGAAUCUCAAAAAGCCAUUCUCAGUUCGGAUUGGAGUCUGCAACUCGACUCCAUGAAGUCGGAAUCGCUAGUAAUCGCGAAUCAGCAUGUCGCGGUGAAUGCGUUCCCGGGCCUU
Molecule: ribosomal RNA, 364 nt
Filed under: uncultured Syntrophomonas sp.
Lineage: Bacteria; Bacillati; Bacillota; Clostridia; Eubacteriales; Syntrophomonadaceae
Description: bacterial SSU rRNA
Rfam family: Bacterial small subunit ribosomal RNA
Source: RNAcentral